This 242-nucleotide long non-coding RNA is filed under the name Vigna radiata. Its description in RNAcentral is "long non-coding RNA (VRAD_LNC003661)". Lineage: Eukaryota; Viridiplantae; Streptophyta; Magnoliopsida; Fabales; Fabaceae. The record is from RNAcentral.
CAANAUUAAAAUUCAACCUAUUCUAGGAAUUUAAAAUGCAAAAGUGUAAGAAGAAAUCUAGGUUGCCUCCUAGUAGCGUUUGUUUAACGUCGCGAGCCUGACCCAAACCUGGUUGGCACUUGUCAGUAAGUGCACUUCCUUCCACCACCCAUCAGUAGGUGUACUGUUCGGAUAUCCUUCAGUGGAUACCAAAAAUUUAGCAUCCCUCAGUAGAUGCUACCCUUACUGCCAUCAGAAGCAAC